GCGGGUGCUCGUUUCGAAAACGAGGCUGUCGCAAGUCUAUUGAAAACAAACUUACACGCUGGACUACCUCAAACAAAAUCCAAGAUGACGAGUCGUGAACGGUGGCCAUGGAUAUAGGGACUUCAGGUCAAGGGCACUAGGGGAGACUAUCAAGAUGGCAUUCCUUGGCAUGAGUGACGAUUUCGAUUUAGAUGAUGAUGGAAUUCUCCGGGACUCUGCAUCAAGCACUGGAGGGUUCCUGAUCGACAAUGAUGGUAUUGUGAGAGAUGACCUUGACCUCUACAAGAACACAGGUAACUGGACUGACUCAGGGUUCGGAGGUGACAAACAGUCAAGCACAUCCACAUUGCGACAAUUACAGACAAGCUUUGAUGAUGACUCAAGAUUAUUUGAUGUUGACCAAAGUGUGAAUAUCAGUGAGCUUGAAGCUUCCAAAGAUGACCUGAGCUUUGAUCGAGAAUCUGUCACCAGUUUUGAUCAUGAUUUUCAAGAUGGAAGCCGAGGCAAUACAUCUGCUGGUAUCAUCAGUAAUAGAAGCUCACUAGAGAAGCCCCAGAGUGGACAACACAAUGAACACAAUCAAAGUGCUACCAAAUCAAACACUGACAAGAGUGAACUGUUCACUGAGGAGUAUUACCAACAGUUGCGUGACCUUGGUGUGUUAGUGGACGGUGCUGAUUUAUCCAAUACCAAAGACUCGGUACAAGAUUUUGAUCAGCUAGAGGCACAUCUGUCCAGGGAAAAUAUAUUCGAUGAAACUGCUCAGACAGACACUAUUGCUGAUUUUUUUAGAAAAGAAAAUGAGAGACAGAUUCAGGAACAGCAGGCAUAUAAGUCGCAGGAGUUCAGGAAUGGGGGAGAGAACAGAUUCCGUCCAAAUUCUGUAGCCUCAGAGCAGACGCUCAGCAGCCAUUCCUUCCCAGAAGUCUCUCCAGAAGAGGCCCUGAUGCUGUAUAAUGUCAACAGAGCUGCAGAUUCAUUUGAUAAUGGGAACUUUGAAUACGGAAAUCAAAGGGUGGUUGAUACAACUGGUUUAUUUCACCGAGACGGCGACACAUCAGGAAUAUUUCACCGUAGCGGAGAUGAUGAUGAGAUCUUCUUCAUCACCAGUCGGAUGGGCACAGAAGCCCAGAUGCCAAACUUCAGUCAGAAUGUGUCCCCUGCUCCAUACUCCCCACACAGCAGUCGGCCCACAAGCCGUGGUAGUGUCUACAGCAGCAGGUCUCAAACUCCUUACAGGGACCUUCAGCAGAGCUCUACAUCACUGACAGAUGUCUCACGCCUCGGAUUUAACCAGAGUUCGGUUGAACAUGAACAACCAGACUCUCCUGUGAAGAAGGAAGAGAGGCCACAACUUCAGACUCGUCCUGAGUCUGCCAACAAUCAAAGCAAGUCACGACCUUCAUCAGUAGCCAGUCACAGAUCAACAGUUUCCGAAGCUCAUUCCUCCAAAACAAACCAAUCCGAUUCUUCCAAACAGCUGUCGAAGGCUCGAUCAGAAGAAAGUUUCUUUGAAGGGAACAAAACUCCCAGAUCAACAAAUGAAAAAAUGCCAAAACGACUCUUACCGAAACCGGUUGAGGAGAACCAAAGCUUCCGGAUGAAGAGCAAGAGCACAACCAACAUCUCAAACCGACAUGGUCCUAUAAAACCCACACACUUGUCCAUGUCUGACUUGUCCCGAUCUGGAGUGGAUGAUGGGCUGGAGGGAGAAGGUGACAGGUCACAAGGAGAGUUGACAGUAAAGCUCAAACAGGAACACUUAAAGCGGAAACAGGCUACAGAGCUGGUUCAACAGCUACAGAAGGACUAUGACAGUCUCUUGUCCAAGUAUGCUAUGGCGGAGCUGACCAUUGAUCAAAUGAGGCUUGGGGCAAAGAUAACACUUCAUUCAGACUCCCCGACACCGAACCAGAUUCAAACUGGGACCUUGACAGUGGCUCAACACCCUCAGGUUCUACAGAUGGGCAGUGCAGCACAUGGGGUGCUCUCAAACUCUCCCGCUCCAGGGGUCGCUGGACACUUCAGCCCUCAACCUGAUAGUCUCAGCUUGCGUGACAACCGAACACCGACCAGUGUCUCGGAGAGUUGGGCAGCAGGACGGUCAGACAGGGGGGUCGGAGGGGAUUCUCGGAGACCGUCAGUGACCGAGUCGGAAGAACGCGGAUUUGUACCCCAGAAUGUCGGAGCUGAGAAGGUGAAGACGGAGUUGCUGCAUCAGGCCAGUGGACUGAAUGAACGGAUUGAGUCCUUCAACUCCCUCCUGGAGCAGAGACAGCUGACCCUUGAGGAGCAGGAGGAGGUGCUUGAGAACAUCCGCACUGACCAUGAGGUCCUCCGUAGACACUACCUCCAAGCAAAGGAGGACUACAACGUACUUCGGCGAUCAGGUGCCUCCCUCAAAGAUGCCAACUUUGACCAAGGCAAGGAACUGGAAGGAGAGCUGUUCCGAUUGGGUAUGAAAUUUGAUGAAAUUCAUGCCAAUGUUGACACAAACUUGAUGGAAAAAGCAGCACUCCGUCAACCGUUCCAAAGCAACAGACUCGCAGACUCAAUGGAGGACAAGGAUGAAGAUGAUGAACAUGCAAUUGACCAACUGAAGAGGAAGAUGCAGGGGACUCUAGCAGGAAGUGAUGUUGUGCCACCCAAAGAGGAUACCGAUUUUGAGAAAAAGUUACAAAGACUUCAUGAUGAGUAUAAUGCGUUAAUGGAUCGGUACCGACGGUUGAAACAGAUGGCCAAAACGCCUGAACGUGACAAGGAGAUUGAUAACUUGGUCAGAAAACUGAAGCAGAUUUGUGAUGAAGCUCCGGACAUGUUCCGUCUUGCUCCAGAGCUGGAAGAAAGAUGGGAGAGGAUGCAGAGACAAGAAUCAAGAAACGCAUCACGUGGGCAGUCUCCGCAGCCGGAAUCAGCAUCCCCUGGGGCCUACUUCCUGUCGGGAGAGGAGGCGAACAGACUACAGCGACAAAAUCAGGGAAGAAGUACGCCAGACUACAGGUCAGAUUCCCAGGACCGACACCAGGAGCCAGGAACCAGGCCUGGUGGCCAGGAAGGAAGUGGAAAUAGAACAAAAUAUGAAAAAAUGAAUGGUUACCAUGGCAACACAUCCAGAGACAGUUUGUCAUCUCGAGAUCGAGCAUCUCCUUCAAUGCCCAGUAGAGGGCGCCUCUCACCAUCCUCACAUGAUCGGCGAUCACCGACACAAGAUGGACGUUCGCGGUCACCUAGGGAUGGCUACUCGCCAGUCAUCAGAGGAGGUCCUCGGGGAUCAGGACGCCCCACCCUCAACAUCUCCAGGGACAGACUGUCGACUGACGGGAGAGAGCUCUCACGGGACGAUCCAAACACAUCACUGCCCCGCCCUAGACGCCACAGUCAUGACUUCAGGGACCACAAGAUGAGGAAGCAUCCUGGUGGUGGCAGCAUGCAUAGUCUGGAUGACAGCGGCAUCUCGGACCAGGAACAGGGGGCACUCGCCAACCUGCCGGGCCCCGGAAAGUUCAAGCAGAUGACGAAGCAGACAGGAGCUGACGAUGUGGACAGUGGAUUUAUAGGAUCGGUGGUUGGGUCAGACGUCACUCGUCCGUUACCUCAGCAGCAGCAGCAGCAACAACAACAGCAGCAGCCACUGAGACUGAGACACCCUGGGGACUCAGGGAGAAGGAACAGGGCGAGUAGUGUUAGAAGUGGUGCUGACACAAGCACAUCGGACACAGGUCAUGGUCGGUCAAGGUCAACUAGAGACAGUGAAAGUGACCGUAGAGAUAGUAGCAUGCAGAAUGAUAGCAUGGAGGUGACGGCCAGUUUCAUGGAUGACCCGACAGAAACAGAGGUCAGUGAAAGUGACAGAGGUCAGAGGUCGCAGAAAAGACAAGGUCGCGAGAAUCGGAAUGUGGGUCAGCAUGACCGGACUUCAGAAGGUUACUCAGGAGAAGAAGACACCGAUGCUACACCAAAACCUUCAACAAGGUUGAAAAUUAGCCAAAAAACAGAAAGCAAGGAAGUCGCAUCACCAGCUAAACCUCAGCGGAAGUCACGCACCCUGGUGUCAGAGGAGGAAGAGGAGGUAACUCCGAGAGCUACACCAACACGAGGGAUGGGAGGAUCUCGAUACGCCUCUUCAUCUGACAUGGAGACACCGAGAAGUGUCCAGGCAAAGACAAGACAGACUGCUCCGCCAAGAUCAGGGGCCACCAGGGCGACACCUGCUGGCAGACAGCUGGAUCGAACAGAAGAACGAACUGUUAAAGGGCGAGAAUCCCUGCUGAAGAGUAAUCUCCAGCAAAGGAAGGAAGAUAGGGCAGUGGGGUCAGAUCGAGAGUGGGACAGAGGUCACGAGUCAGAUGCUACACGUUUGUCGUCUGCAUCAGGGUCUCGUCUACGCGCUCUACAGGAUGAGGUUGAGAGGUUAAAGGAGAGAGUGGAACAGGCUGUGGAAACCCCCCCUCAAGCCCCUCCUCUACCUCCUCAAGGUCAGCCCGAGUACUAUGACCCUUUUGAUGAUCCUUAUGGCUUCAUGAGAAUGCCAAGGAGAAGAGCCAACUCCUUUUCAGGCACCAAUGCACGGGAGUGGGAUGAAUGGUACUGGACACUGCCCAAUCAGCGGAAGAACGAUGGCUCGGACAUUCCUCUUGGCUACGCUGCUGCGGAUGCUUACGCUGAAGCGCCCCCACCACAAGCUGCAGAAUCUCCCGCCAGAAGUCGAUUACGGAGACGCAGAAUGGAAAGGAUGAAGAAAACAGAGCAGGGAAAUAAGCCUGCAAGUGGACCUAUAGAACAUCCUUCUCAACCUUUUGCAGGUCCUGGAAUUGUGCUAGGUGCUCAUCCUGGGUUAGCAACUCAUCCGGGAGUAGCAACUCAUCCUGGGGUGGCAGCUCAUCCUGGGGUGGCAGCUCAUCCUGGAGCUCAUCCAGGUUUGAGGCCAGGAGCUGUGCCAGGAGCUGGGCCUGGAGCUGGGCCUGGAGCUGGGCCUGGAGCUGCCCCCGGAGCUGUAGGUGGGUUUGUCGGGGCACCUACAUCCCCUAGAGAUGGGGAGGGUGUUGGACUUUAUGAAUAUUAUGUCCCUUCCAGGUACAGCACACAGGGGAUGAGACAGCAACUUGCCAGUAAGGGUUAUUUCCGUACUCCCUCUGGUGCCAAAAUCUACGCCAAUCAACAGCCAGGUGCUCCCCAGGUUCCUGGUUACCAUCCAGCUGUUCCCCACGGACACCCCCCGCCUCAAUAUGCCUACUCUAACUAUGGAGAGGGUCAUGUCAGCCGAGGCUACCAGUCCGAUACUGCUGGCAUGCACCCAGGAACAAACCGUCCCUUUUAUACUAUCCGUCGUUCUUCCAAUAGACCAGCAGUGUUUUCUGUGCCAAGGUCAAGGCCAGUUAUGCAAUCCUACUAUGAGGACUAUGAUUCUGUGGAUGGGCGGUCAGGCUAUCAGACUGAUCCUGGAAUCGGGGCUGGUUCCCGGACAUGGAGACAGAGAUCGUAUGUGGUUGAAGCAGCGACCUGUCCUCUCUGUGGAGGCUCAGGAGAACAUACGCAUGCUGAAUAUGAUGAAGGCGACAACUUGCAAUAUCACACCAGGGAAUUCGUCACAGAGAGAUCGAGUAGGCCUCAUAGAAGGUCAAGGUCAGUGUCAAGGUCAGCAUCAAGGUCACAUCACUUUAGCCCGGAGCGGAGUAGCAGUUACUGGAUUCGUGAGUUCAGAGACACUUCCAGUGAUGACACAGAUGAAGAGAUAUAUUCACGGCGAAGAAGGAGCCGAAGUUUAUCACGCACAAGACGGAAAACUAGAAAAUAUAGAAAAGUGCAUGGCUCCUACAGUGACAGGGAUGUUGAUAAGGACGAUUCACUAGAUAUUGAUCUGAACGAGUCUCUGAAUCUGACUGAGGAUAUUCGUGGUCUCACACGGAAGAUGCUACGGUCUAUGCGUUCCGACUUACGCAGUUAUAAGAGGCGGGAUUUUGGCUCUUCAGAGUGGUGAUGCCAACAAGGAAAGCCUCAGUUCCUACAUACUAUGAUACUGAUUGCUCCAGUUUCCUGAAGCCCAACACUUUUACCUCGGACCUCACUAGCAAUUCAAGCACAGUAUAGUUCCAGAACCUGAAGGUCAAAGCCGGAUAAGGGGUGGUCAGGUAGCCUAGUGGUUAAAGUGUUCACUCAUCACGCUGAAGACCUGUGUUUGAUUCCCAUCAUGGAUACAAUGUGUGAAGCCCAUUUCUGGUGUUCCUCGCUGUGAUAUUGCUGGAAUAUUGCUAAAAGCAGCGUAAAACCAUACUCACUCACUCGUUCAAACCCCGAUGCAACUUUAAUGUUGUUCAAAGCAAUUUACAUUGUGUAACUCUCAUGACGGCUGUAGGAUGAAUAUCUAGUGGUUAUGUGGCUGACUGUGUCAUCGUGUCCUGAAGAUGUGGAUCUUUGCUCUUGCUGUCAACCACUGGUUUGCCUGGUCCAGAUUUAAUUAUUUUCAGGCCAUUGUGAUCAUGCUGGAAUAUUGCUGACUGCAGCAAAACAAGAUUCAUUCACUGCACAGAAACAAUAAAUCACUCUGGGGUUGGAGGAGAUCUGAUUACUUGUUUCUGAGGAACCAUUGUAUUGACCUAUCCUGAUAUUCUGCUGAAAUAUUUAAAUAUAUAUAACCUUGGAAACAGGUAUGCAAAAUCUGGAUCUACGGAAAAGGAAGACCAGAUUUUAAUUCAAGCAGGAGUGUGUCUGUUUUGCUUGAUAAAAUAUCUGUGAUUAUCGUAACCGUGGUUACCGAGCUGGACUAGCCUGCACGAAACAGACAUUGAACAAGGUGGAGUUUUAUUUAGAAACUUUUAUACUUCAUAAGAAAAAUGUCCGUCCAUUAUGUUAUGCAAUGCAGUAUAUUUUGUCAAAAUAUAUGUCUCACAUUACACAGCAAUGAAGUCAUCAUGUCAUGAAAUCCAAUAUGGCCGUUUUGUCAACCAUUUUGUAUUCAGGUCUUCCUUUGUGUUGAGAUCAUUUUACCAUAAAUUUUCCAUUUUAGGAUGAAUAUAAGUUAAAAAGGUUGUCAAAAUGUCAUAAGAUAAAGAUCUGGUAAUAUUGUAACUAUUGUACCCUUUUGUGGGUCAUUUAUAGAAUUGAGGACUGUAGCUUUUAAUGCUUGUUUUACAUCGUGUUAUUCCUGUAGAUGGGUGUUGAUGUACUGUAAUCUCAUUUCUUGAGCGAUGUACCACUUUUAUGCAGACAUAUCUUCUUGUAUACAAUAUACAGGCUAGUUUUAUCAUAUUCAUUUAACUAUCCUCAAUUAUCCAGAGUAUUUGAUCUCCAUUCUAUUAAGAUAAAUACCAUGGACCCAUUUUCUUCUUUACAUUUGUUUUCUUCUCGAUUCUUAUGACAUAAUUUUGAAAAUAGCUGUCCAAUCAAAUUGCACUCAUCAGCGAAAGAAAUUUUGUACAAAGUUGCCGUUAAGAGAGAAAUAGAUGGAGCCAUCACUUCCAUAAUGAAGCUAUGGUGGCAAAUAAGUCCAGGGAAUUUAUCAUAAUAGAAUAGAUAUAAUACACUGUAUUAAUGAGGAUGUCCAAUUACUAUACAAAUGUAUUUUGCCCGACUUGUCAGUUCGCUGAUAUUAUGCCAUAGUAUAUGAUGUGUUAUGCUUCUAUCUAGGAAUUGGCUGAUGAAGGGUAGCUUCAGUUAAGCAUCACACUGUAAUUAUAUAAUGGUCAUUUGUUUUUCAUUCAUUGUUAUUCUGAACUGUGAAAACAGGAGUUAGCCAUGUUGUAUUGGUGUAGUAUGUGUAUCCCACUGUUAACAGUUCGGUUGUUGACACGCAAAGUCAGUGGACAUACACUUGGCACACACUGGACAUUAAUACCUGUGCAGCAAUGAACAAAAGCCAGCAUGUUUGCAUUGAGAUUAAAGGCAGACUGUGAUUUUUUUAUAUUUUAAUUAGCAUUAUGCCAUGUUUUGCAAAUAGGGAAACUUCACCUAAGGUUGGCUCACAGGGUGAUUAGAUCCUACCACCAAACUCAGUCCCAAUUCCAUCAUCAGUCCAUCAUCAUGGUAAUCCUGCCUCAACCCAGUCCUUAUUCCUUUCCCAUCCCAGAAUAUAAUCCUGCCCCCACCUGAGUCCUUAUUCCUGGCCUCACCAUAGUCCAUAUUCCUGCCCCAACCCAGUCCUUAUUCCUUUCCCAUCCCAGAAUAUAAUCCUGCCCCCACCUGAGUCCUUAUUCCUGGCCUCACCAUAGUCCAUAUUCCUGCCCCAACCCAGUCCUUAUUCCUUUCCCAUCCCAGAAUAUAAUCCUGCCCACACCUGAGUCCUUAUUCCUGGCCUCACCAUAGUCCAUAUUCCUGCCCCAAUCCAGUCCUUAUUCCUUUCCCAUCCCAGAAUAUAAUCCUGCCCCCACCUGAGUCCUUAUUCCUUAUUCCUGGCCUCACCAUAGUCCAUAUUCCUGCCCCAACCCAGUCCUUAUUCCUUUCCCAUCCCAGAAUAUAAUCCUGCCCCCACCUGAGUCCUUAUUCCAGGCCUCACCAUAGUCCAUAUUCCUGCCCCAACCCAGUCCUUAUUCCUUUCCCAUCCCAGAAUAUAAUCCUGCCCCCAGCUGAGUCCUUAUUCCAGGCCUCACCAUAGUCCAUAUUCCUGCCCCAACCCAGUCCUUAUUCCUUUCCCAACCCAGAAUAUAAUCCUGCCCCCAGCUGAGUCCUUAUUCCUGGCCUCACCAUAGUCCAUAUUCCUGCCCCAACCCAGUCCUUAUUCCUUUCCCAUCCCAGAAUAUAAUCCUGCCCCCACCUGAGUCCUUAUUCCUUAUUCCUGGCCUCACCAUAGUCCAUAUUCCUGCCCCAACCCAGUCCUUAUUCCUUUCCCAUCCCAGAAUAUAAUCCUGCCCCCACCUGAGUCCUUAUUCCUGGCCUCACCAUAGUCCAUAUUCCUGCCCCAACCCAGUCCUUAUUCCUUUCCCAUCCCAGAAUAUAAUCCUGCCCCGACCUGAGUCCUUAUUCCAGGCCUCACCAUAGUCCAUAUUCCUGCCCCAACCCAGUCCUUAUUCCUUUCCCAUCCCAGAAUAUAAUCCUGCCCCCACCUGAGUCCUUAUUCCUGGCCUCACCAUAGUCCAUAUUCCUGCCCCAACCCAGUCCUUAUUCCUUUCCCAUCCCAGAAUAUAAUCCUGCCCCCACCUGAGUCCUUAUUCCUGGCCUCACCAUAGUCCAUAUUCCUGCCCCAACCCAGUCCUUAUUCCUUUCCCAUCCCAGAAUAUAAUCCUGCCCCCACCUGAGUCCUUAUUCCUGGCCUCACCAUAGUCCAUAUUCCUGCCCCAACCCAGUCCUUAUUCCUUUCUCAUCCCAGAAUAUAAUCCUGCCCCCACCUGAGUCCUUAUUCCAGGCCUCACCAUAGUCCAUAUUCCUGCCCCAACCCAGUCCUUAUUCCUUUCCCAUCCCAGAAUAUAAUCCUGCCCCCAGCUGAGUCCUUAUUCCUGGCCUCACCAUAGUCCAUAUUCCUGCCCCAACCCAGUCCUUAUUCCUUUCCCAUCCCAGAAUAUAAUCCUGCCCCCACCUGAGUCCUUAUUCCUUAUUCCUGGCCUCACCAUAGUCCAUAUUCCUGCCCCAACCCAGUCCUUAUUCCUUUCCCAUCCCAGAAUAUAAUCCUGCCCCCAGCUGAGUCCUUAUUCCUGGCCUCACCAUAGUCCAUAUUCCUGCCCCAACCCAGUCCUUAUUCCUUUCCCAUCCCAGAAUAUAAUCCUGCCCCCACCUGAGUCCUUAUUCCAGGCCUCACCAUAGUCCAUAUUCCUGCCCCAACCCAGUCCUUAUUCCUUUCCCAUCCCAGAAUAUAAUCCUGCCCCCAGCUGAGUCCUUAUUCCUGGCCUCACCAUAGUCCAUAUUCCUGCCCCAACCCAGUCCUUAUUCCUUUCCCAUCCCAGAAUAUAAUCCUGCCCCCACCUGAGUCCUUAUUCCUGGCCUCACCAUAGUCCAUAUUCCUGCCCCAACCCAGUCCUUAUUCCUUUCCCAUCCCAGAAUAUAAUCCUGCCCCCACCUGAGUCCUUAUUCCUGGCCUCACCAUAGUCCAUAUUCCUGCCCCAACCCCAUCCUUGUUCCUGACCUCACACAAGUCCUUAUUCCUGGCCUCACCAUAGUCCCUAUUCCUGCCCUUGCCACAAUCCUCAUUCCUGCCCCCAUCCGAGCCCUUACUCCUGUCCCAACCCCAGUCCUAAUUCCUGAAACCCCAGUCCUUAUUCCUGACCCAACCCGAGUCCAUAUUCCUGGCCUCACCAUAGUCCUUAUUCCAGCCCUUUCUUCAUAUUCAAAUGGUUGUCAACUUGCUACCUCUAUCACAUCACUACUAGGCCCUGUCACAGAACAUGCAGGAUGUUAUUAUUAAACACUGCACUUUGUGUACUGUUUUACUUCCAUCCGUCCACCUUACUAUCAAGGUACAAUCAUCACACGUUUAUGUGUGAUUACAGUGUCAAUCUGUACUAUUUUAUUGAUCCAGUAUCAGGAAGUCAUCUCAAAUUUUGAACUGCUUUUUCCAUUACACAACAUGGCAGGAAGCAAUCCGGCUAAUCAAAAUUAAAUACUUUUCAAAUGUAAUUAAGAUGAUAUUUAGUAAAUUAAUCUUGGAGGAGCAAAUCAUUGUUCAGUAAAGUAUUCAUUUGUAUUAACUUACCUAUUCAAAGUAUUUCCUAUCAUACAUUAGGAUAGUCUGCAAAUGCCCCCAUAUAUUUUGAAGACAAACUUCAAACUUCACGAAAUCUGGUGAACAUUAUAUAAAAUAUGUACUUUGAACAUUCUGUGGUAUUUUUUAGCAUUCUGAUGAUUACCAUGGUCAAAGUGACUAAAUUGUCUUAAAUAGGCAUCCAUCCUCGGCAAACUUUUAUGUGCUCUGAGUGCUAAACACACUUAUGUGUUUUAAUUAUUCAAAUGUAUUACGUAUGUCAAGCUACAUUGUGAUAUGAAAGAUAUGCAGCUAUGGCAGAUAACAUUAAACUUACCUAUUUAUAUCAUUUGCAUAUAAAAUGCACAUAUCCAGUAUUAAUCAUUGAAAUGUUUUGGCUGAUUUCAAAUAUUAUUUAUGAUAAUUGUUUUUUUAAUUCAUAUUAUAUUUCAUAUAUCAACUGGGUUUGAAAAUAUAAAUUUACUUUUUGAAUUUUAGAUUUAGAUACCUUUUGUAUCUAAAAAACUUUUAUAAAUGUGAUAAACAGUUAGGCAUACCAAUAACUGGUUUUAGAACAGAACAUUAAUGUUGUGUACUUAUUAAUGUUUUAUUGAGUUUCUUAUUUUUAAUAUGUAUGACACACAUAUAUUCAUAAUAUGUACCAAAAUAUCCGUCCUUGAAGCUGACAACAUGUAUUUUAUUAUAUUUCAUGUAAAUGCUUCGUAUAGUGUGAUUUCAAAGUCAUUUACAUUUUACAUUUACAAGUCAGUGUCUGGUAUUUCCUGGAAUGAUGCAUUACUUAUGGUAAUACUAAGUGUAAACAUAUGUUGUCUCACUAGGCCAGAUUAUUUGUUUUCCUGGUUGUCCAUCUUUGUAAUAGACAGUGGACGAGUGACAGUACUUUGUCGGGAUAUAAAGGUACAGUCUGGAGAACAAAGGGUGUGGUGAUACAGAGUCCUAUUGUUCUUCCAACUGUUCCUUUUAACCCUGAUAAUGUACUGGCAAGAUUCCACUGUCUUAGAGCACAGUGAAAUACUCCAUGGUAUAAUCCCUUAUAUUAAGAGUCCCUAUGGCACAGGUGCACUCCUAAUGGUACAGUCAGAUUGUGCCAUGAGGGCAUGCACAGAAAUGUUGUGAUGAUGUAUAUAAUGUGGAUCAUGUUGUAAAUGUUUUUUUGCAAAACUUAAUACGGACAAAUUUGUAAAAUGAACAUGCGUAAGACACAGUGUGGUUAAUAUAGUAAUCCUGGGGAUUAUGAAAUAGAUAAGGAUGCUAUCAGUCUCGAACCCUUUGACAAAAAGACCUGUAAAAGUAACAACCCCUAAUCAUUAUCAUGAUAGAAGAUGGAAACCAAGGACAUUGUCUGGCCUUAACCUGUAAUAGUUGACCACUGAUUUCUAUAUAUACUUGAUAUAUAACUGUAUACCUAACUGUGUCCAUCAAGUCUACAUGUACCACAGUUUACGUGUAAGUGAUUCUGUCAACAUGUACAAUGACCUACAUAUGUGUGAUUCUGCCAACAUGUAUCACAAUUUGUAGACAUAUGUAUGAUUCUGUCAACAUGUACAAUGACUUACAUAUGUGUGAUUCUAUCAACAUGUACAAUGACCUACAUAUGUGUGAUUCUAUCAACAUGUACAAUGACCUACAUAUGUGUGAUUCUGUCAACAUGAACAGUGACUUACAUAUGUGUCAUUUUGUCAACAUGUACAAUGACUUACAUAUGUGUGAUUCUGUCAACAUGUACAAUGACUUACACAUGUGUAAUUCUGUCAACAUGUACCACGGCUUACAUGUGUGAUUAUGUCAGUGUAGAAAUUAGAUAUUCUGACAGUGCUCUAAAUUUGAUGUACAAUAAACAAAUAGAUUUAUUAAAAUAAAGAUUACAUCAUACAACCUGAA
RNAcentral lists this unclassified non-coding RNA (12505 nucleotides) under Haliotis rufescens (red abalone). RNAcentral describes it as "uncharacterized LOC124142826, transcript variant X1". The record is from RNAcentral. Lineage: Eukaryota; Metazoa; Mollusca; Gastropoda; Lepetellida; Haliotidae.